This is a small nuclear RNA of Phodopus roborovskii (desert hamster), 163 nucleotides long. RefSeq annotates it as U1 spliceosomal RNA. The transcript has a single exon. NCBI's taxonomy places the organism in Eukaryota, Metazoa, Chordata, Mammalia, Rodentia, Cricetidae. The record is from RefSeq and is a predicted model, not a curated record.
AUACUUAGCUGGCAGGGGAGAUCCCAUGAUCAUGAUGGUUGUUUUCUCAGGGUGAGGCUUAUCCAUUGCACCCUGAUGUGCCGACCCCUGUGAUUUCUCCAAGUGUGGGAAACCCUGCUGCGUAAUUUGUGGUAGUGGGGAACUUUGUUUGCGCUCUUCCUGG